RNAcentral lists this ribosomal RNA (540 nucleotides) under Bifidobacterium bifidum. Its description in RNAcentral is "bacterial SSU rRNA". It matches the Rfam family "Bacterial small subunit ribosomal RNA", at positions 161 to 711 of the family's 1533-position model. Lineage: Bacteria; Bacillati; Actinomycetota; Actinomycetes; Bifidobacteriales; Bifidobacteriaceae. The record is from RNAcentral.
UGGUAAUGCCGGAUGUUCCACAUGAUCGCAUGUGAUUGUGGGAAAGAUUCUAUCGGCGUGGGAUGGGGUCGCGUCCUAUCAGCUUGUUGGUGAGGUAACGGCUCACCAAGGCUUCGACGGGUAGCCGGCCUGAGAGGGCGACCGGCCACAUUGGGACUGAGAUACGGCCCAGACUCCUACGGGAGGCAGCAGUGGGGAAUAUUGCACAAUGGGCGCAAGCCUGAUGCAGCGACGCCGCGUGAGGGAUGGAGGCCUUCGGGUUGUAAACCUCUUUUGUUUGGGAGCAAGCCUUCGGGUGAGUGUACCUUUCGAAUAAGCGCCGGCUAACUACGUGCCAGCAGCCGCGGUAAUACGUAGGGCGCAAGCGUUAUCCGGAUUUAUUGGGCGUAAAGGGCUCGUAGGCGGCUCGUCGCGUCCGGUGUGAAAGUCCAUCGCUUAACGGUGGAUCUGCGCCGGGUACGGGCGGGCUGGAGUGCGGUAGGGGAGACUGGAAUUCCCGGUGUAACGGUGGAAUGUGUAGAUAUCGGAAAAGAAACACCA